RNAcentral lists this transfer RNA (75 nucleotides) under Deinococcus psychrotolerans. RNAcentral describes it as "Deinococcus sp. S14-83 tRNA-Ala". It matches the Rfam family "tRNA". Rfam says of the family: Transfer RNA (tRNA) molecules are approximately 80 nucleotides in length. Their secondary structure includes four short double-helical elements and three loops (D, anti-codon, and T loops). The record is from RNAcentral. RNAcentral also lists the same sequence under 1 other name. Lineage: Bacteria; Thermotogati; Deinococcota; Deinococci; Deinococcales; Deinococcaceae.
GGGGGCAUAGCUCAGCGGGAGAGCGCCUGCUUUGCAAGCAGGAUGUCCACGGUUCAAAUCCGUGUGCCUCCACCA